UACGUAGGGGGCAAGCGUUAUCCGGAUUUACUGGGUGUAAAGGGAGCGUAGACGGCAGGGCAAGUCUGGAGUGAAAGGCAGGGGCCCAACCCCUGGACUGCUCUGGAAACUGUCCGGCUGGAGUGCAGGAGAGGUAAGUGGAAUUCCUAGUGUAGCGGUGAAAUGCGUAGAUAUUAGGAGGAACACCAGUGGCGAAGGCGGCUUACUGGACUGUAACUGACGUUGAGGCUCGAAAGCGUGGUGAGCAAACAGG
Molecule: ribosomal RNA, 253 nt
Filed under: uncultured bacterium
Lineage: Bacteria
Description: partial 16S ribosomal RNA
Rfam family: Bacterial small subunit ribosomal RNA
Source: RNAcentral